RNAcentral lists this ribosomal RNA (600 nucleotides) under uncultured Bacteroidota bacterium. RNAcentral describes it as "bacterial SSU rRNA". It matches the Rfam family "Bacterial small subunit ribosomal RNA", at positions 54 to 647 of the family's 1533-position model. Lineage: Bacteria; Pseudomonadati; Bacteroidota. The record is from RNAcentral.
CAUGCAAGUCGAGGGGCAGCAUAAAUUACUUGUAAUUUGAUGGCGACCGGCGAACGGGUGCGUAACGCGUAUGCAACUUACCUUUUACUAGAGAAUAGCCAAGAGAAAUUUUGAUUAAUGCUCUAUGUUCUUAUUUACUCGCAUGAGUAAUUAAGCAAAGCUCCGGCGGUAAAAGAUGGGCAUGCGUCCUAUUAGCUUGUAGGUGAGGUAAUGGCUCACCUAAGCUCCGAUAGGUAGGGGUCCUGAGAGGGAGAUCCCCCACACUGGUACUGAGACACGGACCAGACUUCUACGGAAGGCAGCAGUAAGGAAUAUUGGACAAUGGAGGCAACUCUGAUCCAGCCAUGCCGCGUGAAGGAAGACGGCCUUAUGGGUUGUAAACUUCUUUUAUACAGGAAGAAACCUUUCCACGUGUGGAAAGCUGACGGUACUGUAAGAAUAAGGAUCGGCUAACUCCGUGCCAGCAGCCGCGGUAAUACGGAGGAUCCAAGCGUUAUCCGGAAUUAUUGGGUUUAAAGGGUCCGCAGGCUGUUUGUUAAGUCAGAGGUGAAAUCCUACCGCUCAACGGUAGAACUGCCUUUGAUACUGGCAAACUUGAGU